GCCGGAGUGGCGAAAAGGUAGACGCCGAGCGCUUAAGACGCUCUGCCCGCAAGGGCGUGGGGGUUCGAGUCCCUCCUCCGGUACCG
Molecule: transfer RNA, 86 nt
Filed under: Chloroflexota bacterium
Lineage: Bacteria; Bacillati; Chloroflexota
Description: Chloroflexi bacterium tRNA-Leu
Rfam family: tRNA
About the family: Transfer RNA (tRNA) molecules are approximately 80 nucleotides in length. Their secondary structure includes four short double-helical elements and three loops (D, anti-codon, and T loops).
Source: RNAcentral